CGGGUGCUGUUCCUCGCGUCAGACGGUAACAUUCCGGUGGCCUUAAGCAAAUCCGAGGGAGCUGGCUCUGUCGUUGCCCUGGCUUCGUUACCUGGCGCCCACCUGAAUAUCAGGUCCUCGGGAAUGCGUUUACCAGACGGUUGCUACGGGCCCGCC
RNAcentral lists this small RNA (156 nucleotides) under Rhodobacteraceae bacterium HIMB11. RNAcentral's name for it is "6S / SsrS RNA". Lineage: Bacteria; Pseudomonadati; Pseudomonadota; Alphaproteobacteria; Rhodobacterales; Paracoccaceae. The record is from RNAcentral.